RNAcentral lists this ribosomal RNA (253 nucleotides) under uncultured bacterium. RNAcentral describes it as "partial 16S ribosomal RNA". It matches the Rfam family "Bacterial small subunit ribosomal RNA", at positions 524 to 776 of the family's 1533-position model. The record is from RNAcentral.
GACAGAGGGUGCAAACGUUGUUCGGAAUUACUGGGCGUAAAGCGCGUGUAGGCGGCGGCGUGUGUCGGGCGUGAAAUCCCAUGGCUCAACCAUGGAAGUGCACCCGAAACUGCGCAGCUAGAGUCCUGGAGAGGAAGGUGGAAUGCUUGGUGUAGAGGUGAGAUUCGUAGAUAUCAAGCGGAACACCGGUGGCGAAGGCGGCCUUCUGGACAGUGACUGACGCUGAGACGCGAAAGCGUGGGGAUCAAACAGG